RNAcentral lists this ribosomal RNA (510 nucleotides) under uncultured bacterium. RNAcentral describes it as "partial 16S ribosomal RNA". It matches the Rfam family "Bacterial small subunit ribosomal RNA", at positions 28 to 507 of the family's 1533-position model. The record is from RNAcentral.
GACGUACGCUGGCGGCGUGCUUAACACAUGCAAGUCGAACGAAGAGCGAUGGAAUCUUGCUUCUAUCAAUCUUAGUGGCGAACGGGUGAGUAACGCGUAAUCAACCUGCCCUUCAGAGGGGGACAACAGUUGGAAACGACUGCUAAUACCGCAUACGAUCUAAUCUCGGCAUCGAGGAUAGAUGAAAGGUGGCCUCUACAUGUAAGCUAUCACUGAAGGAGGGGAUUGCGUCUGCUUAGCUAGUUGGAGGGGUAACGGCCCACCAAGGCGAUGAUCAGUAGCCGGUCUGAGAGGAUGAACGGCCACAUUGGGACUGAGACACGGCCCAGACUCCUACGGGAGGCAGCAGUGGGGAAUCUUCCGCAAUGGACGAAAGUCUGACGGAGCAACGCCGCGUGAGGGAUGACGGCCGUCGGGUUGUAAAGCUCUGUUAAUCGGGACGAAAGGCCUUCUUGCGAAUAGUGAGAAGGAUUGACGGUACCGGAAGAGAAAGCCACGGCUAACUACGUG